AGAAAUUGUGGAUAUAGCGAGGAUUUGGAUUAAAAAGACAUUUUUGUCAUACUGCUGGAAUAGGGUUGUCUUGUACGAGUUGUGCUGGAUUAUUGCUAAAUAGAAGAAAGUCGCUCAGUAUUUUAACUGUGGGGAGCUGCUUUCGGUGGUACAUACAGGCAAAUUUGGAAAUACCAUAUGUGCUAGUGAAUGGCACAAGGAUUGGUAUGGACUAUUGGUUAGUCUUUU
This 228-nucleotide long non-coding RNA is filed under the name Mytilus galloprovincialis (Mediterranean mussel). Lineage: Eukaryota; Metazoa; Mollusca; Bivalvia; Mytilida; Mytilidae. The record is from RNAcentral.